CUACGGGUGGCUGCAGGCGAGAAACUUCUACAAUGCACGCAAGUGUGAUAGAGGAAUCUUGAGUGUUUGGAUUUAAAUCCAAACUUUUCUCUAGUGUAAAAAGCUAGAGGAAUAAGGGCUGGGCAAGAUCGGUGCCAGCAGCCGCGGUAAUCCCGACGGCCCGAGUGGGACUCGAUUUUACUGGGUCUAAAACAUCCGUAGCUGGUUUUAAAAGUCUUAUGUUAAAUAGUUCUGCUUAACAGAGCAGUUGCAUGAGAUACUAUGAAACUAGAGACUGGGAGACGUGAUGAGUAUGAAUGGGGUAGCGGUAAAAUGCUUUAAUCCCAUUUAGACUAACAAUCGGCGAAGGCACAUCACGAGAACAGAUCUGACAGUGAGGGAUGAAGGCCAGGGGCGCAAAACGGAUUAGAUACCCGCGUAGUC
Molecule: ribosomal RNA, 423 nt
Filed under: uncultured archaeon
Lineage: Archaea
Description: partial 16S ribosomal RNA
Rfam family: Archaeal small subunit ribosomal RNA
Source: RNAcentral